UGAUAUCGGACGCCCGAGAAAGUUUGGG
This 28-nucleotide small RNA is filed under the name Bombyx mori (domestic silkworm). Its description in RNAcentral is "piRNA piR-bmo-1457694". Lineage: Eukaryota; Metazoa; Arthropoda; Insecta; Lepidoptera; Bombycidae. The record is from RNAcentral.